RNAcentral lists this signal recognition particle RNA (302 nucleotides) under Plasmodium knowlesi strain H. Its description in RNAcentral is "Plasmodium knowlesi sRNA PKNH_1339200". The stretch from base 25 to 270 matches the Rfam family "Protozoan signal recognition particle RNA". The record is from RNAcentral. Lineage: Eukaryota; Apicomplexa; Aconoidasida; Haemosporida; Plasmodiidae.
GUCUGGCUGCAUGCCUUCGGGUAUGCAGCUGUAACUUAUGAGACGCGCAAAUUUAUUUGCAAAAAUCAUGGGAUGCUACAAUGUGGAGAGGAUAUUCCAAUGCCUAACGUCCGUUCCCGUCUAUUGCAAGACACCAGUUACUGAAUGUGUUCUGUUGGAAAGAGAACAUAUUGAAGUAAUAAUGAACUGCAAACCGCCUCAGGCUGGAAACAGAGCAGGGUCAGUGGUCGCUGGUGUACGGUGCGAAGAUUACGGUUGAGCGGGCCAGGUGUCUGAAUCUCUCUUGCAGGGUAUGUGCACCA